This is a long non-coding RNA of Pan troglodytes (chimpanzee), 668 nucleotides long. RefSeq lists it as uncharacterized. NCBI's taxonomy places the organism in Eukaryota, Metazoa, Chordata, Mammalia, Primates, Hominidae. The transcript has 3 exons. The record is from RefSeq and is a predicted model, not a curated record.
GAGACACACAGACAAGAAGCACACAGCGAGAAGAGGCCACGUGAAGAUGGAGGCGGAGAUUGGAGCGAUGCAGCCACAAGCCAUGGAAUACCUGGGGGCCACCAGGAGUCAGAAGAGGCAGGAAGGGCCCUCCCUUAGAGCCACCGCAGGAAGCACGGCCCUGCCGAUGUCUGGAUUUGGGACUUGUGGCCUCCAGAACGUGAGAGAAACCACCAUGAGAACAGCUGGUACUCAUGGACCAGUGGCAGCUGGAUGACCCGCAGUCACCAUCCACUGAAUCCUUCCAGGAACACCUGCACGUGGAAGCAGGCAGAUGCUGACUCACCCACUAAAGCUGAGGCCGAAGGAAAUUCUCCGAUGACAAGGCUCUGCAGGUGCCAUACGGAGCGAGUGCUUUUCAGGCAGCUGGCGGAGCCCAGAGCAAGCUUCCCCCAGAGCAUCCGAAGGGGCCACUUGGCUGCAGUCGCCAUCGCGAGAACAACAGGAAACUGAGCAGGGGCUGCUGUCGUCCUGGGCAGGACAGCUCUCCAUUUCCCUUCAGGCCUGGCAUUGUUUUGCUGAUGGAAGAAAAGUGGAAUGGGGCGUGAUCACACUGCCGGCUCAGCAGCUGGAAAGCUCAUGUGUUUGCUUAAAUGUGCACAAGGUGAGGUCCCUCUGUGCCGCUGAUC